Molecule: microRNA precursor, 67 nt
Filed under: Bombyx mori (domestic silkworm)
Lineage: Eukaryota; Metazoa; Arthropoda; Insecta; Lepidoptera; Bombycidae
Description: mir-2774 microRNA precursor family
Rfam family: mir-2774 microRNA precursor family
Source: Rfam by way of RNAcentral
ACAGCAUUCGGACCGUCGGUCUACCGAGCAAUAUCAUCCGCUCGGUGGAAGAUCUUCCCUUUGUCGU